Molecule: non-coding RNA, 712 nt
Organism: Callorhinus ursinus (northern fur seal)
Lineage: Eukaryota; Metazoa; Chordata; Mammalia; Carnivora; Otariidae
Source: RefSeq, a predicted model, not a curated record
GAGCACAAUGAGCAGCAUCCCAGCCCGGCGCAGGGAGAGAAGAAAAUGAGGCACCCCGGGAGGGCUCAUAACUUCCUCUCCCUGCACCCCAAACACACAGACACACACACAAUGGAGCCAGCAGGCCCCACAAGCGUUCCCUGGCCCACCCCACUGUGACCAUUUAUGUUUGGGGGGAAACAAGCCUGGUGGGCCAGGAGCAGGGUGACACAGAGUCUCCACAUCAGUCGCUGCCCCUCCCACUCCUUCUGGAAGAAAGGUGCAGCUCGGCAGGUGGCGGUGGCAUCCUGAGCGUCCCCAUGGCAACACUGAGGUCAGACCUCACUGUGGUGACCUCACUCUGGGGCCACUGGACUCAGGCUGGGCCGUCAUCGUCACGACGGGAAAUGGAGGCGCUGUGAAGGAGCUCUCCAGAAAAAAAAGGAAUCUGCCUCUUGGGGUCAUGGCUCUGGGAAACAGUCGCUCCUUACUCGGAUCGUGGCCCUGUAGCUGAGGCCCAUCAUCCCGCCGAAGGCCAGUCCGGAGGGGAGAGGAACCACAGACCUGUCCUGGAUUGCAAAGCCCAUUGUCACCCCUUUCUUGAACUCUGGCCUUGUCGCGUCUCCUCCCUGAGACUCUUGUUUGCUCAGGGUUGUUGUGAAGACUAGCCGGCCCCGCAGGAACGCACCGACGCCAACACACAGAGCCCUGCGAGCCGGAGACGUCUUUGCAG